AUUUAUAUAGUAUAAAAAUUACAUUUAAUUUCCAAUUAAAAAAUUUAAGCUAAAUUAAUAUAAAUA
RNAcentral lists this transfer RNA (66 nucleotides) under Tetraponera aethiops. RNAcentral describes it as "tRNA-Gly". Lineage: Eukaryota; Metazoa; Arthropoda; Insecta; Hymenoptera; Formicidae. The record is from RNAcentral.